UGGAAUUUUAUUUAAAGGAAAACAAAACCAAAUAAAACAGCAACAAAAACAAAUAAAAAACCUCUUGAAAACUCAGGUUUUACUCUUGGAUAUUCCCAUCUCUCUCUAAAGAGAGUGCUUCAGAUCAAAUAUCCCACAUGUGAAAUAUUCUUUGAAGAAGCAAGUCUCAGUGAAAUAUUUUCACUUUGAAUGCCACAUUUUGGUGAAAUGGUACUUCCUUGAAAACGUGCCAGGUGAUGAUGAUGAUGAUUACAUCCUGUGCUGGUCCCCAGCCUGCCCCAUGGUCUUUCCCACCCCAGAAGCAGCUGUGUGGGUGCUGCUGGCAAGGGGACACCACUGCCACAGGGGAUGUGCCUGAGCCCUGAGAGAGCCAAAGCCAGCCUGUGGGAACAGAGCUGCAGCACCAAGCGUGGAUCAGGGCUCUGCAGGCCACACAGGACUCUUGGGAAGAGCACUGGAUGUGAGAUUAAUCUCUGGAUUUUGGUACCUGUAUCCACGAGUUACCUGUGAAUGACAGUGACGCCUUACAAAAAGCAGACCCCCUCUUUCGUAAAUUCUUGGCAACACACUGCCAUUUAUCUCUGUGCUUAUAUUGGUGCAGAAGAACAUUUGAUUUUUUUUGUCCAGCUGAAUUCCUUGAGGCUUCCUGUGGUUAAAAAAGAACAGUAAAUUCUGAAAUUUAGAAAAAAUUAAAUGCUGUUAUUCUGAACAUCAGCUGGCUGGAGAUACUGGCAGUAACUUGCUUUUAACUCUAACAUCCACAGUUCCUAUUCUGAAGCUAAAAUUGGCACUGACAAACUUUGGCUAUCCUGACAGUCCCACUAAAAUCAGUCAGACUGUUGACAUGAGUGAUAGCACACAAUAUAUUGUAGUUUAUUUGUGGUUAAUGAUUUAUAGAAUCACGGAUUCUCAGAAUUUGUGUUUGAAGGGUUUUUCCUUAAAGCUCGUCUCAUUCCCCUCCCUGCCAUGGGCAGGGACACCUUCCACCAGCCCAGGUUGUUCAGAGGUAACUGUACAGACAAGCACAGGAUGUUUAUCUGCCUUUUGUGAAGCUGUAUGAUGGCACAAGGUUUGAGCAUUACUAAAACAUCCCUUGUCUCUGGGCUCACACACUGGAGGGCGGGUUGGGGAGGGGUGGGACACUUGCUCACUUUCUUAACCAUUUCCCUUCUGAGUGAACCAGGACACAGCUUUGCAUGUGGGUCAACAUCCAAGAAAAGUGAAAUUAAUUUGUUCAGAACAUAAAACAACCAUUUCUUUGCUCACAGAAUUUGUCAGAGAGCUGCCUUUCUCCUUCAUUUGCUUUACAAAAUGCUAAUUUUGCUUAACCACCGACACACAGCAUUUUGUAAAAGAGAGCCAUUUUAUUCUCAUUAUGAUGUUUAUGUUAAGAGGAAGAAUGAGCAGCUUUGUGACAAGAAAACAUCUGAGUUUUCCAAAGAAGAGGAGCAAGCUGGCUGUCACGUAUUGUUUUGCCAUUCUCCUAUUUGCAUAUCAGAGUGAUCUUUGUUAAAGGUUUGCAAAUGAAACACUUGAGAUCCGUUUUUGGUCCCCAGCUGAGGGCAAGAAGUCCUGGCCAGGAUGGCCACAGAGGCAGGAGGACAUGGUCCCAGUCCUGCUCACGUGCCAUGGGCAAUGCCAGCCUGGUGCUCACCCGUCUCCCUGCAGCUGCCGACAUGCUCGGCUCUGAAGGAACAUGGAUUUGCCCACAGCCUUGUCUUAAAUGCAGAGCUAAGCAGCUGUCUGGUAUCAUCUGUCAUAACCUGUUCUCAGUAUCCCUGCUCUGUCUCGCCAGAGGUUUUCUGUCUGCUGUGCGAGCUGUUCUGCUCCCUCCACAGAGGGACAAUGUUUUUCCCAGGGCGAGCUCUCCCCAGGCUUGGGACCAUGGCUUGGGAUGCAGACAGCAGCACCCCUCCUGUGAUGACUCAAGGCAUUGGGAAAGUAGAUGGGGAUGUAUUUCUGACAUUUGCCACCACCAUGGAGUCCAGGGGCAGACCCUGCCCUGCCAGUGGCACCCACCCAACAGGGUUCCAGCAUGACACACCACCGUGACAGACUGGGGACACUCCCCCUCCUCAGUCCUCAGUGGACUUUGAAUAUCCACCUCCGCCAGGAAGUCCAAGAACUGGCCUUGAGCUGAGUUGAGUUUCAGGCUUUUAUUUAUUCAGGUCAAUAGUUCUUAUUUCUUUGAUGCUGCUCUGUGCUCACCUUUUGUACAUUCAUUUUACCCUCUUCCUGUUUUAUAUGUUCCCUAAAGCCACCAAAUCAGGAAGGAUGGGUUUGGCUUGCUGAGCCUCGAUCUUUCUGUCCAUCAAACACUUGCCAUCUUGGGGACCCAACUGUUUCUCACCAAAGAGCUGAAAAGAUGCUUGCACUCAACCCUUACAGUCACUCUGUGCUCCCCAUCCUCACAGGAUCUCUGCUCCAAAGGGACAAGAUUGAUGCUUCCUCCUGUCACCUACAUCAGGCCUCUCUUCCUACCGCUUCAGCCAAUGUAAAACCCUUCUGAUGAGCCGGGAUUAGGCCUUGCUCUUUCUUGAAUCGGCUGAUCAUUAAAGGAGCCCUCCUAAUGGAGACACAUUAGUGAUUUGAGAGGUGAACCAUUUGCUCUUGUGAGUACAGAACAGCACCUGGGAUGGCAUCCAUCUGAAAGGUGAUGGUGCACUGAUCCCCAGUAAACUCUCCUGGUAAUCCUGAUUAGGUGCUAAUUUGAGCUGCAUUUUUUCUGCUCUCUUUCACCCUCAUUUUCUCCUUGCAGGCUUUACAGUUUCCCUCCAUUCACUAUGUUCCUCUCCCAGGAAGGCUGUGUUGGAAGAGCAGAUUAAACCUUUACACAGGUAGCUGUGAAUAAAUGUCUGUGAGAAUUUGCUACCUUCCAGCAGUUUUAGCACAUCUCUUGGAAAGCGCUUUCUGUGUGUGAAAUACAGCAGGCACCAUCUCAGCUGAUCCAGCAAACUCCAUCUAUGGAGAUGUCACCUUCUUUCUGGGAUCCUUGCUGCCCAGCUAUGUUUCCCAGCACGAGCAAGGUCUGCAAGCUGAGGUUUUGGGUCUAAAACAGCAGCUGCCAUCAACCAGGGGUCGCUCUGGUGGGUCUCCUUCAGGGCAUGUUGCUCGCACAGUGCCCUGGCCAGGUCGGGUCCUCCCGUUCCCUGUUCCAUGCGGUUCAGCAGAUGAGCAAAGCUACUGAUCAGGACCUUCCCUGCACAUCCACUGACCCGCUGCUGUGCAGUGGAGGGCCUUGCAAGGAACACGGAGAGCCUGGUUUGACAGAGGAUCCCCAAAUACUGUGGUGGAGUGGACAGGCCAUGCUCCCACACCCUGGUCAGACGUGCCAUAGAACUCAUCUCCCGGCAGUUCAUGAAGGGAUGAAGAAGACCAGCUUCAUGAGGAAUAGCCCCUGCUUUGCCAACCCACAGCUAUAAGAGGCCUGGACUCCUCGAUUCUGCCGGGAGCUGUGGGGAGGCGCAUCCGACCCAGCCUCCCUCCAGCUGGUUUCCACACACACGGAGGAGUCACUGCCUGCUCUGUGUCUUCACCUCAGUGUCCCACCACUGUGCUUCACCACACAGUGCCUGAGGUUUACUUAUAGAUUUGAGGAAAAUCAAUUUUCUAGAAAAAAUUAGGUACAGAAAAAGAACUGGAAUCAUUAUGCUGGGUUAGGAACCCUAUGGAGACAGCAGGUUUGAACUAAUCACACGGACAGACACCCAAAUUACAUCAUAGCUCUUGCUUGAAAGAAACCAAAUUCUGAGAAACAUGAAGUGGCUUAAAUUAUAAAUUAGUUGCUUCUGUGUGUGAAUUAUUUGCUCAUGAGACUGGGAAUUCCUCGUCAUUACCUUGUGAAAGCCUUGGGAAGGGGCCGGGGCAGUCCCACAGAUUCCUCAUCAGCUGCUGCUGCCACCAGCAGCACCAAACCAUGUCCUGGUGCCCCCGUGCAGCACCUGCAGGGGUCCAAUCCCCAUGUCCCUGCUCGUGGGACUGGCCAGACCCUCCAGGGCAGUGGGACCCCUCCGUGGCACCAUCCCCCAGCAGCUCCCACCCUGAUUGCCCCCGUUCAGCACACAGUGGGGUCACGGAGCGGCCAGCCCUGCUGAGAGCUGUGCACCAAGGUGCCUGAGAGUCCUCCACAGACAUCCAACAACAAUUUAGUAAUUUAAAAUGGCCAAAGGAGGGUUAAUUCUUCUUAUAAUGAAAAUCAAUGGCCAUCUGACAAGAGGGUUUUAAAUCUUUUCAUGAGGAAAUUGCUCAGCAAAAAUGCUUAAUUCCCUUAGUGUGCCACCAUGCAUCUCACAUCCCCCCCAUGGUUUUCUGGGUUUUCUCUUUGUUUUUAGGGAAUUGUUUGUUCUACCAGGUAUAAAUGGGCAAUAUAAUAAAUCCAGCUUUUCAAAAAUUAGUAUAUAAAUAUUGUGAUACCUGCCAUGUGAAUAUAUUAAUGCUCAACAA
Molecule: long non-coding RNA, 4443 nt
Organism: Corvus hawaiiensis (hawaiian crow)
Lineage: Eukaryota; Metazoa; Chordata; Aves; Passeriformes; Corvidae
Exons: 4
Source: RefSeq, a predicted model, not a curated record